GCUUUCGUGGUGUAGGGGUCAAUACGCUCGGCGCAUAUUCGAGAGGUCCGUGGUUCGAGUCCCAGCGAGGGCA
Stegodyphus mimosarum is the source of this 73-nucleotide non-coding RNA. The record is from Rfam. NCBI's taxonomy places the organism in Eukaryota, Metazoa, Arthropoda, Arachnida, Araneae, Eresidae.